GCCGGAGUGGCGGAAUUGGCAGCCGCCAGGGACUUAAAAUCCCUAGAUACUUAGUAUCGUACCGGUUCAAGCCCGGUCUCCCGCA
Molecule: transfer RNA, 85 nt
Filed under: Candidatus Colimorpha enterica
Lineage: Bacteria; Pseudomonadati; Bacteroidota; Bacteroidia; Bacteroidales
Description: tRNA-Leu
Rfam family: tRNA
About the family: Transfer RNA (tRNA) molecules are approximately 80 nucleotides in length. Their secondary structure includes four short double-helical elements and three loops (D, anti-codon, and T loops).
Source: RNAcentral